AUUGAACGCUGGCGGCACGCCUAACACAUGCAAGUCGAACGGUAACAGGUUCUAGUUUACUAGAAUGCUGACGAGUGGCGGACGGGUGAGUAACGCAUAGCAAGCUACCUAUCAGCGGGGGAUAGUGCGGGGGAAACUCGUAGUAAUACCGCAUACGCUCCACGGAGGAAAGUCUGUUUACAGGCACUGAUAGAGGCGGCUAUGUCCGAUUAGCUAGUUGGUAGAGUAAUGGUUUACCAAGGCGACGAUCGGUAGCUGAUUUUAGCGAAUGAACAGCCACACUGGGACUGAGACACGGCCCAG
This 303-nucleotide ribosomal RNA is filed under the name uncultured bacterium. RNAcentral describes it as "bacterial SSU rRNA". It matches the Rfam family "Bacterial small subunit ribosomal RNA", at positions 30 to 334 of the family's 1533-position model. The record is from RNAcentral.